Molecule: long non-coding RNA, 422 nt
Filed under: Gossypium raimondii (Peruvian cotton)
Lineage: Eukaryota; Viridiplantae; Streptophyta; Magnoliopsida; Malvales; Malvaceae
Description: long non-coding RNA (GRAI_LNC007303)
Source: RNAcentral
AUUGAAAGCAAUGUAAUUACGAAUAGAGCAUAAUUGCAAAGUAGGAGCAAAAGAACCAGAGUUUGACUUUAAUUUUGUUUGUUUGAAAAAAAAACAACAAAAACUUGCAAAAAGGGACGGCAGGAAAAAAAUCGUGAAAUAUGAUGAGACUUUUAGGGAGAUUUUUUUGGAAUAAAAAUAAAAAUAAAAAUUAACUACCCCCACUAACCCUAUUGCAAAAAAAUCCCAACAACUACGGUAACCUACAACCAACUUACAACUCAGAAUUUAAUUCCUAACCCAGCACCACUCCAUGCCCCAUUGACAGAAAACUACAAAAAAUAACACUCUUUCGUUCCCCCCAAGAUUUGAACCCAAGACCUCCAACUCUCCACUAAAGCCCUUAACCCUUGGACAAAUACAUACGUAUGAAAAAAUCAAAC